Molecule: ribosomal RNA, 856 nt
Filed under: Melanelixia glabra
Lineage: Eukaryota; Fungi; Ascomycota; Lecanoromycetes; Lecanorales; Parmeliaceae
Description: eukaryotic LSU rRNA
Rfam family: Eukaryotic large subunit ribosomal RNA
Source: RNAcentral
GGGAUUGCCUCAGUAACGGCGAGUGAAGCGGCAACAGCUCAAAUUUGAAAUCUGGCUCCUUCGGGGUCCGAGUUGUAAUUUGUAGAGAGUGCUUCGGGGGAGACUGCGGUCUAAGUCCAUUGGAACAUGGCGUCCUAGAGGGUGAGAAUCCCGUAUGUGACCGUGGCUCGAACCCAUGUGAAGCCUCUUCGACGAGUCGAGUUGUUUGGGAAUGCAGCUCAAAAUGGGUGGUAAAUUUCAUCUAAAGCUAAAUACUGGCUGGAGACCGAUAGCGCACAAGUAGAGUGAUCGAAAGAUGAAAAGCACUUUGGAAAGAGAGUUAAAAAGUACGUGAAAUUGUUGAAAGGGAAGCGCUGGCAACCAGACCUGCCCGUAGGUGAUCAGCCGCUGUUCUCAGCGGUGCACUCGCUCUGCGAUCAGGCCAGCAUCGGUUCCGGCGGUCGGAUAAAGGCCUUGGGAAUGUACCUUCCCUUCGGGGGAGUCUUAUAGCCCUCGGUGCAAUGCGGCCAGCCGGGACCGAGGACCGCGCUUCGGCUAGGAUGCUGGCGUAAUGGUUGUCAGCGACCCGUCUUGAAACACGGACCAAGGAGUCUAACAUCUAUGCGAGUGUUUGGGUGUUAAACCCAUGCGCGGAAUGAAAGUGAACGGAGGUGAGAACCCUUAAGGGCGCAUCAUCGACCGAUCCAGAUGUCUUCGGAUGGAUUUGAGUAUGAGCAUAGCUGUUGGGACCCGAAAGAUGGUGAACUAUGCCUGAAUAGGGUGAAGCCAGAGGAAACUCUGGUGGAGGCUCGCAGCGGUUCUGACGUGCAAAUCGAUCGUCAAAUUUGGGUAUAGGGGCGAAAGACUAAUCGAACCA